GAAAUCCUUACCUGAAUUAUACCUGGAAAGACCUUACUCCCACAUCCACAGGCACAGAAGUCACAGUGCAGCCAUCCCGAGCCCCGUGGGUGAGGUGUGAGUGUGGCCAUCCCGAGCCCCGUGGGUGAGGUGUGAGUGCGGCCGGUGCACAUGCAGCUUGGAAGGGCGCAGGAGCCGCAGCCUGGCGGUUCUGCGUGGCCGCGGUGAGCCUCACUGUCUAUGCAAUGGGGACAGCAUGGUGCUGACAUCGUGGGCGGUGUGAGGAUUACAGGAUGGGCACCCCGAGGUGCCAGCUCUGGCAUCCAGAUGCCCAAAGUGGAUUCCACUGAGCUGCAGCUGAGCUAUGGGCAGGGCUAUGCAGCCUCCAGAGGGUCUGUCCUUCCCUCCCAGCUCCUGGGGCUCCAGGCGUCCUUGGCCACAUUGCUGCACCCUCUGCCUCCAUCACACGCAGCUGUUUCCUCUUCUGUCUGGGUCGAAUCUCCCUCCAUGUGUCUUUUUCUUUUUUUUUCCUUUUUGAGACAGGGUCUCACUCUGUUGCCCAGGCUGGAGUGCAGUGGCAUGAUCAUAGCUCACUGCAGCCUCAGCCUCCUAAGGUCAAGUGAUUCUCCUGGCUCAGCCUCCCAAUGUGCGGGGAUUACAGGUGUGAGCCACUGCACCCGGCCCACUUCUCUCUCAUAAGACACUUGUUUUUUGUGGUUGUUGUUGUUUGUUGGUUUUGAGACAGAGUCUCACUCUGUCGCCCAGGCUGGAGUGCAGUGGUGUGAUCUCAGCUCACGGCAACCUCUGCCUCCUGGGUGCAAGUGAUUCUCCUGCCUCAGCCUCCUGAGCAGCUGAGACUACAGGCGCCCGCCACCACACCCAACUUUUUUUUUUUUUUUUUUUUUUUUAAGUAGAGAUGAGGUUUCAUCAUGUUGGUCAGGCUGGUCUCGAACUCCUGACCUGGUGAUCCACCCACCUCGGCCUCCCACAGUGCUGGGAUACAGGUGUGAGCCACUGCGCCUGGCCUGCUUCUCUCUUAUAAGACACUGGUGAUUGUAUUCAGGGUGCACCUGGGUGAUCAGGGGCACCCUCCGUCUCAGGCUCUCUAACUUAAUCACGUCUGUAAAGUCCUUUUGACCAUGGAAAGUGACAGACUCAUGGGUUCCAGACAUCAGAACCUGAUGCCUUUGGGAUCUGUUAUUUAUCCCACCACACCUGUCCUGCCUGAUGAACAGAUCUAGAUAGACCCAGUGCGUAUUUGUUAAUGCCAUUUCUUCCAAAAUGUGAAUCCACUGCUGACAUGUAGAGGUAUAAAUCUGUACACUGGCACUUCCUGUUGGAAUUUUAGAAGAUCUGGCAUCUCUGGACCCGAGUCCCUGGUUGGCAGUAAUCUGUGGGUCUGAGCCGAAGUCCCCAACACUCCCUGUUUCCCCAGACACACACGCCAAGUGACAAUCUGUUCAUCCUUCAACUUCCCUGUUUUCCUCAGGGUCCUCAGGAUCGAGAGGAGGUGGCUGAGACGCGGGCACAGGUCCCCUCAUAGCCCAGAUCACCCCCACCUGCCCACUGCUCACAAACGGAGUCAGCCCCCGUGGAAAUCGCAUUCCCCGUCACGCUCCCAGACGGCCGUCUCCUCCCCGGUGAUUGUCUUCCAAACUACCUCCUGUAAUUAGAACAGUGCGCUCCCUCGGGUCAUGGGAAAGGAACUUCAAAUGAUGAUUCCAUAAAAGCAGAAUGACCACGGGCGCGCGGCGGCCGUGCGCGGA
Long non-coding RNA from Symphalangus syndactylus (siamang), 1745 nucleotides. RefSeq lists it as uncharacterized. NCBI's taxonomy places the organism in Eukaryota, Metazoa, Chordata, Mammalia, Primates, Hylobatidae. The record is from RefSeq and is a predicted model, not a curated record.